Molecule: long non-coding RNA, 498 nt
Organism: Panicum hallii
Lineage: Eukaryota; Viridiplantae; Streptophyta; Magnoliopsida; Poales; Poaceae
Exons: 4
Source: RefSeq, a predicted model, not a curated record
UUUAGUCUCCCUAAUUGGUAUCCAAAUGUCAGAUGUGAUCCGAAUAAAAAUUGACUUCAGCAUCUGGAAGGCAGUAACUACGAAGAACACAAGGGUUGUACGGCCUCUGGCAGGUCCAUACUUACAACCAUACUGGCAGUUUGAACGAAUCUUUGCUUGAAGAAACCACAGCUUCUGUGGCAUCCAGGGAAAUUCGGCAAUAAGACCCGUAAGGUCCUUUGCUCUAUAUUAUUUUGUUGCUGAUGUUCAAGAAAUGAUGAAUCCUGUUGCCACUGCAUAUUCAAAGGAUACCAUUCAAACCGUCUUUUAUUCGUGGGCUACGCAACUUUUGUACAGUGAAGAGGUGCCGGAAGAAGAAUCAUACUACCCAGUUUGGGGGCUGUCUGAGAUGCAACAAGCUGGCGUCAAAGCCCUCAUUUAGAUCAGAUCGUCUUGUUUUUGUUCUUGCUCUUCAUUUCAUCAGCUAUCUUUACUUUGACCGCUGCUCAACAAGCAAUG